UGGUAGAGGAGCAUUGUUAGCGCAGCGAAGCUGUACCGAUAAGGAGCAGUGGAGUGCUAAGAAGAGAGAAUGCCGGAAUGAGUAGCGAGAGGAAGGUGAGAAUCCUUCCGGCCGAAUAUCCAAGGUUUCCAGAGUAAAGCUGAUCUGCUCUGGGUAAGUCGGGGCCUAAGGCGAGGUCGAAAGACGUAGUCGAUGGAUAACAGGUAAAGAUUCCUGUACUGUAUCAUAACAGAACUGUGGGGACGCAGACAGAGAGCACAAGCCGGGAAUGGAAAGACCGGUGCAAGCGAGGUAGGAGUACAUCAGGCAAAUCCGGUGUGCAAUCCGAAGACGUGAUGCGGAUCGAAAAGAAGUAGAGAAGUGUGUGAGCUGGCUGCCAAGAAAAGCCGCUAUUGUUUACAGGAUACCCGUACCGUAAACCGACACAGGUGGAUGAGGAGAGAAUCCUAAGGCCGACGGGAGAAGCAUUGUUAAGGAACUCGGCAAAAUGACUCCGUAACUUCGGGAGAAGGAGUGCCAGUAAGAUGGCCGCAGAGAAUUGGCCCAAGCAACUGUUUAGCAAAAACACAGGUCUAUGCAAAACCGAAAGGUGAGGUAUAUGGGCUGACGCCUGCCCGGUGCUGGAAGGUUAAGGGGAGUGGUCAGGAAACGAAGCCACGAACUUAAGCCCCAGUAAACGGCGGCCGUAACUAUAACGGUCCUAAGGUAGCGAAAUUCCUUGUCGGGUAAGUUCCGACCCGCACGAAAGGCGUAAUGAUUUGAGCGCUGUCUCGACAAUGCAUCCGGUGAAAUUGAAGUACCAGUGAAGAUGCUGGUUACCUGCGCCAGGACGGAAAGACCCCAUGGAGCUUUACUCCAGCUUGAUACUGGGAUUCGGUAUUGCAUGUACAGGAUAGGUGGGAGGCUAGGAAAUGGUAACGCCAGUUGCCAUGGAGCCAAUGUUGGGAUACCACCCUUGCAGUACUGGGUUUCUAACCAGCAGCCGUGAUCCGGCUGGGGGACAAUGUCAGGUGGGGAGUUUGACUGGGGCGGUCGCCUCCGAAAGGGUAUCGGAGGCGCUCAAAGGU
Molecule: ribosomal RNA, 1067 nt
Filed under: human gut metagenome
Description: bacterial LSU rRNA
Rfam family: Bacterial large subunit ribosomal RNA
Source: RNAcentral